RNAcentral lists this ribosomal RNA (229 nucleotides) under uncultured bacterium. RNAcentral's name for it is "partial 16S ribosomal RNA". It matches the Rfam family "Bacterial small subunit ribosomal RNA", at positions 104 to 334 of the family's 1533-position model. The record is from RNAcentral.
CGGGGUGAGUAAUGUCUGGGAAACUGCCCGAUGGAGGGGGAUAACUACUGGAGACGGUAGCUAAUACCGCAUAACGUCGCAAGACCAAAGAGGGGGACCUUAGGGCCUCUUGCCAUCGGAUGUGCCCAGAUGGGAUUAGCUAGUAGGUGGGGUAAUGGCUCACCUAGGCGACGAUCCCUAGCUGGUCUGAGAGGAUGACCAGCCACACUGGAACUGAGACACGGUCCAG